ACUAACAGGGGGUUUGAAACUUGGUGAGGGGGGGAAAACUAUGUACAUUAUGUCUCUUUGCAAGACAAGGUGUGGGAUUGCCACACCAUAGGGGUUGGAGUUGGUUGUUUUCUCCAUCUACGUGGUCUAUGGGCUGUGUUUAGAGGUCACUGCAUGAUGAGCUAUAUGCGGUUUGGUCGUUUGUAGCAGGGUAGUACACUUGUGGAGUUAGGUCGCUACCCACCUGUGCGUUUCACUGUAAGCCCCGUGGGACAUCCCCGUUCGGGGCAGAGGGCGGUCGCUUCGGGUUUGUCGUCCCCCGGUCCUAUGAGGGCGCUUCUACUUUUUGGGCAUGCUUAUUGUCAGUUUGGGGAUCACAGAAGUCGUCUCCCUAUUGCAGGCCACUGUGUAUGUAGCUGGGUC
Non-coding RNA from Pelobates cultripes (western spadefoot toad), 402 nucleotides. The record is from the annotation of a GenBank genome assembly. NCBI's taxonomy places the organism in Eukaryota, Metazoa, Chordata, Amphibia, Anura, Pelobatidae.